AUUGAACGCUGGCGGAAUGCUUUACACAUGCAAGUCGAACGGUAGAGGGGGCAACCCCUCGAGAGUGGCGAACGGGUGAGUAAUAUAUCGGAACGUGCCCAGUCGUGGGGGAUAACGUAGCGAAAGUUCCGCUAAUACUGCAUACGAUCUAAGGAUGAAAGCGGGGGAUCGCAAGACCUCGCGUGAUUGGAGCGGCCGAUAUCAGAUUAGGUAGUUGGUGGGGUAAAGGCUCACCAAGCCAACGAUCUGUAGCUGGUCUGAGAGGACGACCAGCCACACUGGAACUGAGACACGGUCCAGACUCCUACGGGAGGCAGCAGUGGGGAAUUUUGGACAAUGGACGCAAGUCUGAUCCAGCCAUUCCGCGUGCAGGAUGAAGGCCCUCGGGUUGUAAACUGCUUUUGUACGGAACGAAAAGGUCUCUCUUAAUACGGGGGGCUCAUGACGGUACCGUAAGAAUAAGCACCGGCUAACUACGUGCCAGCCGCCGCGGUAA
This 496-nucleotide ribosomal RNA is filed under the name uncultured bacterium. Its description in RNAcentral is "partial 16S ribosomal RNA". It matches the Rfam family "Bacterial small subunit ribosomal RNA", at positions 30 to 523 of the family's 1533-position model. The record is from RNAcentral.